UGCUGUGUCUUUCUCUUCAUGAGAUAAGAGGAACAAAAGAAUGUAUGACAUUUUUUUUCAAAAUGAUAACAUUUUCGUAUUGAAAUAAUAACUUGUGCCGCCCCUCUCAACCAUCGAUUCAACCACAGCAACAACGAAAUGAAACAAGUUCCUACGCUUCUGAUGAAGUCUCUCCCACUUCGUUGUUCCAUGCCACAAGUUUCUCCCUCCAUCAUUCAACAAAUUGCUUCUAAUCAACCCAAACCCAAAUCCAAAG
Molecule: long non-coding RNA, 256 nt
Filed under: Lupinus angustifolius (narrow-leaved blue lupine)
Lineage: Eukaryota; Viridiplantae; Streptophyta; Magnoliopsida; Fabales; Fabaceae
Description: long non-coding RNA (LANG_LNC001226)
Source: RNAcentral